CGGGGUGAGUAAUGCUUGGGAAUCUAGCUUAUGGAGGGGGAUAACUACGGGAAACUGUAGCUAAUACCGCGUAAUAUCGAAAGAUUAAAGUGUGGGACCUUCGGGCCACAUGCCAUAAGAUGAGCCCAAGUGGGAUUAGGUAGUUGGUGAGGUAAAGGCUCACCAAGCCGACGAUCUCUAGCUGGUCUGAGAGGAUGACCAGCCACACUGGGACUGAGACACGGCCCAG
This 229-nucleotide ribosomal RNA is filed under the name uncultured bacterium. RNAcentral's name for it is "partial 16S ribosomal RNA". It matches the Rfam family "Bacterial small subunit ribosomal RNA", at positions 104 to 334 of the family's 1533-position model. The record is from RNAcentral.